Long non-coding RNA from Junco hyemalis (dark-eyed junco), 1804 nucleotides. NCBI's taxonomy places the organism in Eukaryota, Metazoa, Chordata, Aves, Passeriformes, Passerellidae. The record is from Ensembl.
GUGGUAGGUGGUAGUAGAGCUGCUUAAAUGGGAAACCCUUAGAUCCAGCCCCUCGUGCUCACCCUAAAGCAAUUGAACAGCCCCGCAACAGGAAAAGGGAGCAAAGCUCAGUCCCAGAAGAAUGCAGUUGCACUUGUUUUCAAUCCCCUCUCCAUAUUAUUGCAUCCUUCACAGGUCAGAGUAGCUGGAGGCCCAGGAAGGUGCAGAUUUUUGGGACAAAAAGCUCUGUUGGCCCCUCUUUGGAUCUAAACAGGGCCAUGGUCUCAGCCUCGCUGAAAGAGAAGCUGAAGUUUCUCCUCAAGUCUAAGCAGCAAUCUGCACUUCACAAAGUUAGCACCUGGUCUUGUGAUGAUUUUCACUGCUGGUUUUAAACCAUGCAGGAGUUUUAAUCUGCUACCAUUACAGCUGCCAAGAUGUUUUAAUAAACAGGCACUGGACUGGGAGGUGAGGGGAUGAGCAAAGGGGCUGGCUCCACCUUCUUCAGCCUGGAUGUGUCCAGGGGGAGCAUGGAGCAUCUCCCAUCAGAGUGUAACUGGAUAUGCACCCACCCCUGACACCGAGAGUGCCCUGCACCUGGGAAGGGAUUGCAGAGGUCUGACACAGGCUGAAGUUCACUUUUACCAGAGAACUGCUAAAAUUAAAAGUCAGUGUGUAAAUGUGCAAAGCCACCUAAUGCUGACCCCAGACCAGCACAAGCUGAGUAUCUUGAGGAUUCUUCACAAGCCUCCAAGAGCACCUGGACCUAGGCAGGACACUCAAAACUUUGCAGGCAACCCAGAAACCUGCGAGUCCCAGCUGCAGUAAUGAUGGCCAAACCAGAUUUUCUGGCAACAGCUUCCUUCACUUCCCAGUCUGGACCCACAUUUCCCAUUGACCUUCUCCAUCCCACACUUUUCUGUGGGUGCAUGUGAGUUAACUCCUUAUGCCACAAAACCUGGGGUUGUUUUCUGCCUGCUGUGACGGCCCCAGGUUUGGCCUGUGGAUGCUGUGCCUGCGAGUGGUUCUGCCAUUAUCAAAUCUCUGCAGCACACAAGGCACAGGUGUGGGCUGUGAGUUUGGGAAGGAGAGCUGAAGAUGACCUCAUGCUGGACUUUGGAAAGAGGAUGUUAAAGAGCUCAGGCAGCCCGUGCUGACAGAGAGACACGCACCUGUGCAGCAGGGACUCUGCCUUCCUCUUUCCUCUGUGCUCCCACAUGGAGAAACCCCAGCCCCAGCUGAAGUUCGGAGGGCCCCACACAGAACCAAGCUGCAGGUUCAGGGCUUAACUAGAGAUUACACCCACAUCAAAACGGGGUAUGGAAGAGAAGAAACAAAACUGGUUUAACUGUAUUAACUCCACUGUUAAUACGGGCCAGUAGUACACUUGACUUUAUGGUUGCGAAUUGGUUUAAGAUUAAAAAAAAAAAAAACCAAAAUGUGAAGAAUUGCAUUUUCUGUACAAUUCCCUGUUCCCAGUCAUCUCCUUGUCUUCAGAAAGUGACUCUGGGCAUGCUGCCAUUGUUACUUACCUCUCCUCCUUCAUCAGACCUAUUCUUGUUUCUACUUGGCGCUCUUAAUUCCUUAAAUAUAAAAGUUUAUAUUUAUCUAUAUAAUUAUACACACAUACUGCACUCAAAUUUCCUCAGGAUAUGACUCUUCCAUGCUGCAUAAACUUCCUUCCCUGGCCUUCUCCAGCUCUAUCAUUCUUUUUGCUGCUGUCCAGGGUGCAGCUGUCAGGGGCAGGAAGCCCCAGACCCUGCUUCUCACAUCCAGACUGAUCAAGGUCAGGAAAAGGGUAGCCAGUACCUGCUGCCUCCCAAACCCU